UGAGCAUGCCUUUUAGGCAUCCUCUCCCAAAACUUUCACGGGCCACCUUCGGGUGGCCCUUUUUUUUGCCCGAA
Sphingopyxis sp. HIX is the source of this 74-nucleotide non-coding RNA. The record is from Rfam. NCBI's taxonomy places the organism in Bacteria, Pseudomonadati, Pseudomonadota, Alphaproteobacteria, Sphingomonadales, Sphingopyxidaceae.